Hermetia illucens (black soldier fly) is the source of this 609-nucleotide long non-coding RNA. RefSeq lists it as uncharacterized. The transcript has 2 exons. The record is from RefSeq and is a predicted model, not a curated record. NCBI's taxonomy places the organism in Eukaryota, Metazoa, Arthropoda, Insecta, Diptera, Stratiomyidae.
AGCUGACGGUACCCGAACUGAAGAUCGGCUCAGUCGCAACCGUUCGGCUGUGCACUAGACGUAUCCGGGUCGUAUGACUUCGGCCAUUAGCCCGGAUUCCUCUGAAGGCUUUCUACAAUGGAAAUCUAUCUACACUAGAUGUUGGCAGGAAUAGCACACGAUAGUACAGUACAGUACACUAAAGCCCCUAAUACAACGAUUGAGGGAAGGAACGAUGGCGGCGGCGAUGACUGUGAGCAGUGAGCAAUGGAUAUUAUAUGGAAUACUGUAGAUUGUAGAAUAAAGGAAUGAAGCUGGCGCAUGAUUUUUUUCAACAGAGGCGAUGUUUUUUAGUCGUUUUUGCUCCUCGUUUCGUUGCUGGCUGGGCUGGUUGCUUGUUUCAUUUACCUUCUCGGUUGGUCUCGUUUUUCUCUGCAUUAUUUUUUGAGAAAAUGCAGUGUUUGCGACUUCCCACUAAAUUCUUUUUUCGCUGAGAUUUCUCGACAGCAUCCAUCCAAUAAUGAUAUUAAAUAAUUAGAAUUUUAAAGAAUAUUUUUUCUAAUAUGAUAUGGCAAGGGGUAGAGAUGAUUUGUCAAUAGCAAUAGAAAUAAAUUAUUUCGUAUCAAUCAG